RNAcentral lists this ribosomal RNA (482 nucleotides) under uncultured bacterium. Its description in RNAcentral is "partial 16S ribosomal RNA". It matches the Rfam family "Bacterial small subunit ribosomal RNA", at positions 28 to 507 of the family's 1533-position model. The record is from RNAcentral.
GACGAACGCUGGCGGCGUGCUUAACACAUGCAAGUCGAACGCUGAAGCUCAGCUUGCUGGGUGGAUGAGUGGCGAACGGGUGAGUAACACGUGAGUAACCUGCCCUCUUCUUUGGGAUAACGCCCGGAAACGGGUGCUAAUACUGGAUAUUCACUGAUUCUCGCAUGGGGGUUGGUGGAAAGGUUUUUUCUGGUGGGGGAUGGGCUCGCGGCCUAUCAGCUUGUUGGUGGGGUGAUGGCCUACCAAGGCUUUGACGGGUAGCCGGCCUGAGAGGGUGACCGGUCACAUUGGGACUGAGAUACGGCCCAGACUCCUACGGGAGGCAGCAGUGGGGAAUAUUGCACAAUGGGCGAAAGCCUGAUGCAGCGACGCCGCGUGAGGGAUGGAGGCCUUCGGGUUGUAAACCUCUUUCGCUCAUGGUCAAGCCGAAGCGUUGGGUUGUGGUGAGGGUAGUGGGUAAAGAAGCGCCGGCUAACUACGUG